CCACAUCUGUACCCUAGAGUUCAGAGUGGGGAAGGAACCUUGACAGAGGUAUUGGUGCAGCACACAGGGAAACUGAGGCACACACACUAUUCAUGCAAAACAGUAAAACUCUCAUAGGCUCAACAGUAAGCCUCACAUACAACA
Chelonia mydas (Green sea turtle) is the source of this 144-nucleotide long non-coding RNA. RefSeq lists it as uncharacterized. The record is from RefSeq and is a predicted model, not a curated record. The transcript is spliced from 2 exons. Lineage: Eukaryota; Metazoa; Chordata; Testudines; Cheloniidae.